This 289-nucleotide ribosomal RNA is filed under the name Lysobacterales bacterium. RNAcentral describes it as "partial 23S ribosomal RNA". It matches the Rfam family "Bacterial large subunit ribosomal RNA", at positions 2638 to 2925 of the family's 2925-position model. Lineage: Bacteria; Pseudomonadati; Pseudomonadota; Gammaproteobacteria; Lysobacterales. The record is from RNAcentral.
CUAUCCGCUGUGGGCGUAAGGGGUUUGAGAGGAGCUGUCCCUAGUACGAGAGGACCGGGAUGGACAGACCACUAGUGUGUCAGUUGUCGUGCCAACGGCAUAGCUGAGUAGCUAAGUCUGGCAGGGAUAACCGCUGAAAGCAUCUAAGCGGGAAGCCUCUCCCAAGAUUAGAUCUCUCAACCCUUGAGGUUGUAAGGGCCCUCGUAGACUACGAGGUUGAUAGGCCGGGUGUGGAAGCACAGCAAUGUGUGAAGCUAACCGGUACUAAUUGCCCGAGUGGCUUGGUCAU